CCUGCAGCUCGAGUGGUGAUCACUAUUAUUGGGCCUAAAACGUCCGUAGCCUGUCUUAUAAAUGCCUGGGUAAAUCGUGCCGCUUAACGGUACGAAUUCCGGGUAGACUGUAAGACUUGAGACCGGGUGAGGCUAGAGGUACUCCUGGGGUAGAGGUGAAAUUCUGUAAUCCUAGGGGGACCACCAGUGGCGAAGGCGUCUAGCUAGAACGGGUCUGACGGUGAGGGACGAAGCCCUGGGGCGCAAACCGGAUUAGAUACCCGGGUAGUCCAGGGUGUAAACGCUGCUUGCUUGAUGUUAGUCGGGCUUCGAGCCCGAUUAGUGUCGGAGAGAAGUUGUUAAGCAAGCUGCCUGGGAAGUACGGUCGCAAGGCUGAAACUUAAAGGAAUUG
This 391-nucleotide ribosomal RNA is filed under the name uncultured archaeon. Its description in RNAcentral is "bacterial SSU rRNA". It matches the Rfam family "Archaeal small subunit ribosomal RNA", at positions 476 to 867 of the family's 1478-position model. The record is from RNAcentral.